RNAcentral lists this ribosomal RNA (249 nucleotides) under uncultured bacterium. RNAcentral describes it as "partial 16S ribosomal RNA". It matches the Rfam family "Bacterial small subunit ribosomal RNA", at positions 524 to 772 of the family's 1533-position model. The record is from RNAcentral.
GACAGAGGUGCCGAGCGUUAGGCGGAAUCACUGGGCUUAAAGCGUGUGUAGGCGGACCCGUCAGUGUCUUGUGAAAUCCCACGGCUCACCCGUGGAACUGCUGGGCAUACUGGCGAUCUUGGGCCAACUAGGGCAACUGGAACAAGCGGUGGAGCGGUGAAAUGCGUAGAUAUCGCUUGGAACGCCAAAGGUGAAAACAGGUUGCUGGGGUUGUGCCGACGCUGGAGAACACGAAAGCCAGGGAGCAAA